GAUGAAGAACGUAGCGAAAUGCGAUAAGUAAUGUGAAUUGCAGAAUUCAGUGAAUCAUCGAAUCUUUGAACGCACCUUGCACCCAUUGGUAUUCCAAAGGGUAUGCUCGUUUGAGUGUCAUUGUACUCUCACACUCUACUAUUAGAGAAGUGGACUUGGGUGUUGCUGCUUUGCGGGUGGCUCAUCUUAAAUAUGCUAGUGCAACUCAUGGUUGGAUAUAGUACAGCGUGAUAAAUAUCUUCGCUGGCGCCUCAUGAAGAGGGUAUCUGAUUGGGAGCUCUGUGCUUCUAACAGUCCUGUCUAGGACAAUGUCUGACAACUUGACCUCAAAUCGAGUAGGACUACCCGCUGAACUUAAGCAUAUCAAUAAGCGGAGGA
This 378-nucleotide unclassified non-coding RNA is filed under the name soil metagenome. RNAcentral's name for it is "partial contains 5.8S ribosomal RNA, internal transcribed spacer 2, and large subunit ribosomal RNA". The stretch from base 1 to 120 matches the Rfam family "5.8S ribosomal RNA", at positions 35 to 154 of the family's 154-position model. The record is from RNAcentral.